Small nucleolar RNA from Hevea brasiliensis (rubber tree), 93 nucleotides. RefSeq annotates it as small nucleolar RNA Z221/R21b. Lineage: Eukaryota; Viridiplantae; Streptophyta; Magnoliopsida; Malpighiales; Euphorbiaceae. The transcript has a single exon. The record is from RefSeq and is a predicted model, not a curated record.
GGGCAGCGAUGAGGAGAUGGAGAAAGUCAUGCACCACUCUGAUAUAUAAUUGAGGUGAUAAAUCUCUGAUACCCAUAUUAUACAUCUCAGCUU